RNAcentral lists this ribosomal RNA (506 nucleotides) under uncultured bacterium. Its description in RNAcentral is "partial 16S ribosomal RNA". It matches the Rfam family "Bacterial small subunit ribosomal RNA", at positions 30 to 523 of the family's 1533-position model. The record is from RNAcentral.
AUUGAACGCUGGCGGCAGGCUUAACACAUGCAAGUCGAGCGGUAACAGAGAGAAGCUUGCUUCUCUGCUGACGAGCGGCGGACGGUUGAGAAAUGCCUAGGAAUCUGCCUAGUAGCGGGGGAUAACUUGCCGAAAGGUAAGCUAAUACCGCAUACGUCCUACGGGAGGAAGGAGGGGACCUUCGGGCCUUUCGCUAUUAGAUGGGCCUAGGUCGGAUUAGUUAGUUGGUGAGGUAAUGGCUCACCAAGACCGCGAUCCGUAACUGGUAUGAGAGGAUGAUCAGUUACACUGGAACUGAGACACGGUCCAGACUCCUACGGGAGGCAGCAGUGGGGAAUAUUGGACAAUGGGGGGAACCCUGAUACAGCCAUGCCGCGUGUGUGAAGAAGGUCUUAGGAUUGUAAAGCACUUUAAGUUGGGAGGAAGAGCAGUUAACUAAUAUUUGACUGUUUUGACGUUACCGACAGAAUAAGCACCGGCUAACUUCGUGCCAGCCGCCGCGGUAA